UCCCGGUUGAUCCUGCCAGAGGCCACUGCUAUCGGGGUUUAACAAGCCAUGCGAGUCGAGAGGUUUCUGACCUCGGCGUACUGCUCAGUAACACGUGGACAAUCUGCCCUGGAGAGGAGGAUAUCCCCGGGAAACUGGGAUUAAUACUCCAUAGUUCGUCUUAACUGGAAUGUUAUUCGAACGAAAGAUCCGUCGCUCCAGGAUGAGUCUGCGGCCGAUUAGGUAGUUGUUGGGGUAACGGCCCAACAAGCCUUUCAUCGGUACGGGUUGUGGGAGCAAGAGCCCGGAGAUGGAUUCUGAGACACGAAUCCAGGCCCUACGGGGCGCAGCAGGCGCGAACUUUACCAUGCGGGCAACCGUGAUAAGGAAACCCCGAGUGCCAGCACAGGCUG
This 392-nucleotide ribosomal RNA is filed under the name uncultured Methanospirillum sp. RNAcentral describes it as "bacterial SSU rRNA". It matches the Rfam family "Archaeal small subunit ribosomal RNA", at positions 1 to 400 of the family's 1478-position model. The record is from RNAcentral. Lineage: Archaea; Methanobacteriati; Methanobacteriota; Methanomicrobia; Methanomicrobiales; Methanospirillaceae.